UCCGCAUUUAGUAACACGGCCAAACGAAAUGUGAUUUCAAGUUUCAAGAACGUUCUGACUAUCUCAUUCCAGCAUUAUGAAGUGUAUACCCAUGGUCGUAGUGUGUUUGUGUUUAAAAUUAGUGCAAGGUAAUAUAGACAGUAAAUUACAUUAUUUUGAAACCCUGAAAUCAGUGGAGGUGCGGAGUCGUGUCAAGAGAAGUGCGGAUGGACAGAGUGCAGCUUAUAAGGAAGUCUGGUUCAGUGCCUUAGGAAGAAACUUCAAUAUGGUGAUGAAACCUGACACCAGAGUUUUGUCCAACUCUUUCAAAUCUUUCACUGUCAACGAAGAUGGACAUACAGAGCCAUUUCAUAUCAACCGGAAUGAGUUCUAUACUGGACAUUUAACAGAUGGAGAGGGUGUAGUUGAUGCUCAUUUAGAAGACUCACAGUGGAAUAUUCAAGUGGCAAUGAAAGAUGAUGUUUACUCUGUUGAGCCGUCAUGGAGACACCUGCCUCCCUCAGACAACCACACCCUGAUUGCAUACCGCCACUCUGACAUCAAGUGGGACCACGCCUACCCUCACCUGUCCAACCACAGCAACAAGAGACAAAGUAUAUGUGAGAGUAUUCAUCCUGAUAUUGGAGAGGGAGAAAUUGAUGAGGAAUCAGAAGAAAACCAGACAGAUUCAGCAGAUCAUGGACGUCAGAAGAGGCAAGCAUGGCUGCUAAAUAAAAACACUUGCAACCUAAUCUUGGUCGCAGACUACUUGUUUUAUGAAGGUGUUGGCGGAGGUUUCAAACAUCGAACUGCAAACUAUUUGAUUGGGCUGAUCCAGAGGAUAGACAACAUUUACCGUGACACGCUAUGGAAUAAGGAAAAGGGACAGAUAGGAUUUGGAUUUCAGAUCAAAGAGAUGCGUAUCCACAACAAGCCUACAACUGUAGCUAAGGGAGAAAAACACUACAACAUGAAGAACCCCAGCCAGUGGGACACACGCCAGCUGCUGAAUGAGUUCAGCAGCCAUGUGUAUUUUGGUCGAUUCUGCCUGGCACAUCUCUUCACAUACCAGAGUUUCAGCGGCGGCGUCUUGGGCCUGGCGUACAUAGGGUCACCGAGACUAGGCACUGUCGGCGGAAUAUGUUCUCCCUCCUACACAAGGCGGGGUAAGAGGCACUACCUCAACACUGGGUGGAGCAGCUCCCUCAACACAGCAGGCAUCAGGCAGCUCACACAGGAGUCCACAUUAGUUACAGCUCAUGAAUUUGGCCACAACUGGGGCAGUGAGCAUGACGUAGACACGCCCGAGUGUGCCCCUGACUCCUUCAACAAGGGCCGCUACAUCAUGUACCCCUACGCCGUCAGCGGGUGGGAGGAAAACAACCAUAUAUUCUCCCCCUGCAGCAGGCGUUAUGUGUCCGAUGUGCUGAGAGCCAAAGCUUUCAAGUGUUUUGUAGAGAGGAAGGACAAUGUGCCAUACUGUGGGAACGGCAUCGUGGACAACCUGGAGAACUGUGACGCCGGACCUGAUGGUGACGACUGCUGCACCAGCAAGUGUCGGUUCAAGUCAGGAGCCACUUGCAGCCCCAUGAACUCGGAGUGCUGUGAGAACUGCCAGAUGGCCACUGAGGACUACCAGUGUAGAAUCACGUCCCCCAACAGCUGUCUACAGACCACCAAGUGCAACGGUUCUAGUUAUGACUGCCCAAUGGCCGAGCCGAAGUUGAAUGGAACAGAUUGUAUAGAUGGUGGGAAAUGCUACGAUGGUAUAUGCAAGUCUUUCUGUGAAGUUAUGGACAUGGAGCCGUGCAUCUGCUUGGACAAACAGAGUGCCUGCGCCAGAUGUUGUAAACACACAGACAGUGGCCCGGAGGGGUGUAAACCUAGGGGGGGAAAUCUGGAGGAAGGAAGGCCCUGUUACCAGGGUUACUGCUCAAAGGAAGGGACCUGCACCAAGACCACAACGGAUCUUAUCUACAGGUUCUUUGACUUCAUAGAGAAACUCACUCCCAGUAAAUUUGUGGAGAUCAUGAGAAGCAACAUUGUGGGGACGGUCAUCGUGUUGUCCUUGAUCAUCUGGGUGCCUGCCAGCUGGGUGUUCAGCUGUAUAGACAAGAGAGAGGAAAAAGAAAGUAAAGAUGUCCGAGAUUGGAAAGGGAGUCCCUACCUUAUCACCAGUGAUGAAGUCUUGGAGAGAAAAAUCCAGGUGUCAGGAAUCCGGCGCCUAGGCCGACCAGCGCCACCCAGGAGGGCCUUGUCCCAGUCCACAGGUUCAGUGCAGUCCAUGGAAAAAGAGUCCACAGUUUGACCACUCAAGGCUUCAUAGCUUACUUUCAUGAAAGACAAGAAGUGGGUAUUUGUUGUCAACAUGUCGUUUGUGCAAUGAUUGGUUUUGCAAACGUAAAACAUUGACGUACUGUCGGCUCCAUGUUAGACAAGCACAAACUACAGGGGGCCAGAUUGCAUGUAGAUUUAUUGCAAUUCUCAGCUGGAGGGGUGUUUAUGUUGGGCAAAAUGGCCACAUUUCUGUGGAGUCAUCACUAAUCUUGAGCAAGCAUGGCCCACUAGUCUAAGGUGUUGAAAUUUGCUUGACGGAGUUGUAUCCCUUUACCUUGCCAAAUCUGAUGAUGAUGGGGUAAAAUCCCAUAUUCAUCUUCAUUAUCCUUCAUCUAUCAGCUGUUUUCCAGGUUUGUGGGUUUCUACAAUGUGGUAGACAUCAGUGAUCUGCAGCACUUCAGGCUUUCUUCUACCAGUAAGCUGACAUGCUGUGAUAUUACUGAAGUCAUGUUCAGACAUUAAUCACAAAUCACUCACUCCUCACAAGUGUUUGUCUGUAUGAUAAUAGACUGAAAUUUAGUCCCUAAAAUAAAGUUAUCUUAUCUAAAAAUGUAUAUCAAUAAAAUAAAAUAAAUAAAAUCCAAAUGAAGCCCAGAAUAAUCCUCAGCAGACUUGCCAAAUUAUUCUAGACUUGAGUUAGACUCCUUUUAUAUAUUUUUCUUUAGGGUCUGGAAGACAGACCAGUACAAUAACUGUAAUUAUCUAUUACCCAUUCUCAAUUACCAUAAAUGGUACAGAUGCUGAUUUUUGUCAAGACAAAAAAACCAAAGUGCUAUAAUCAAAACCUGUUGAAAAAUGUAUUUUAUGGAAAUGUUUUUUGAGGAAAUCAAAAAAUUAUAUUUGAAAUUGAAAUUGUUAUUUUUUCUAUUUUUUCAACCUACCAACCUGAAAUUUUUUAGCACCCCCACCCUCCAAAAUAAAUAAACCUGACCUUACCAUAUUCGCUGCAAUAAUUACCCUUUGGGAGUGUUUAUAAACACUGUACACAACGAGUUGGCUACAGAGUUCUAGUUUGUAAGUGUAACAGUCUGUAGUCGUUAUGUAGUCAUUUAUCUAUGCAGUAUGAUGUCAAAUGAAAUGAAUAGUGAUUAAAGGAUACCGGUAGGUACAGUAUGGAUUGAGAAUAAAUGUAGUGUUGAUCCAGCAUAGGUGCAGUAUUUGAUAUAGCAUAGGUGCAGUAUUUGAUAUAGCAUAGGUGCAGUAUUUUAUACAGCAUAGGUGCAGUAUUUGAUAUAGCAUAGGUGCAGUAUUUUAUAUAGCAUAGGUGCAGUAUUUUAUACAGCAUAGGUGCAGUAUUUUAUACAGCAUAGGUGCAGUAUUUGAUAUAGCAUAGGUGCAGUAUUUUAUACAGCAUAGGUGCAGUAUUUGAUAUAGCAUAGGUGCAGUAUUUUAUAUAGCAUAGGUGCAGUAUUUUAUACAGCAUAGGUGCAGUAUUUUAUAUAGCAUAGGUGCAGUAUUUUAUACAGCAUAGGUGCAGUAUUUGAUAUAGCAUAGGUGCAGUAUUUGAUAUAGCAUAGGUGCAGUAUUUGAUAUAGCAUAGGUGCAGUAUUUGAUAUAGCAUAGGUGCAGUAUUUUAUACAGCAUAGGUGCAGUAUUUGAUAUAGCAUAGGUGCAGUAUUUGAUAUAGCAUAGGUGCAGUAUUUUAUACAGCAUAGGUGCAGUAUUUUAUACAGCAUAGGUGCAGUAUUUGAUAUAGCAUAGGUGCAGUAUUUGAUAUAGCAUAGGUGCAGUAUUUGAUAUAGCAUAGGUGCAGUAUUUUAUACAGCAUAGGUGCAGUAUUUUAUACAGCAUAGGUGCAGUAUUUGAUAUAGCAUAGGUGCAGUAUUUGAUAUAGCAUAGGUGCAGUAUUUUAUACAGCAUAGGUGCAGUAUUUGAUAUAGCAUAACUUAAAACACUAAUGAUGCAGCUUGGAUCUGGAAUGGGUGAGGAGAGGUGAGGUGAAAUGGGGAUUAACGUUGCAUCCAAGAUUAUUCCGACAUGCUUGAGUGUGUGUGUGUGUGUGUGUGUGUGGCUGCUUUUACUAGUCUGGACUAAU
This 4351-nucleotide unclassified non-coding RNA is filed under the name Haliotis rufescens (red abalone). RNAcentral's name for it is "aDAM 17-like protease, transcript variant X1". Lineage: Eukaryota; Metazoa; Mollusca; Gastropoda; Lepetellida; Haliotidae. The record is from RNAcentral.